Molecule: long non-coding RNA, 3304 nt
Filed under: Capsicum annuum
Lineage: Eukaryota; Viridiplantae; Streptophyta; Magnoliopsida; Solanales; Solanaceae
Description: long non-coding RNA (CANN_LNC019644)
Source: RNAcentral
CCUGAGUUAAUGGACAACUGAAAUGACAUAAUUCAAUAAGCUUGCAAGCAUAAUUGAUAAUGCCUAGUGGUAAAAAAUGACACCUUAGUUUAAUGGAUAGGAAUGUGUAAAUGGUUUUAAUUGGGCUUAAUGGGGUUGUGUAGCUCACGCUGAAGGUCUAAGUCUCAGGGAAGACGAAUACCGAAAAUUACAUUUACUGACGUGGGGGUCUUUAUGGUCGUGUGCAUAGUUCAUACUUGAUAUGUUUAUAUCUUAGAUUGGUAUGGGGUCAUGGAUUCCCUGACCUUCUUUGGAUUUCCUGGUUCUUGCGGCUACACGCAUUGGGGCCCUUCCGAUGGGAGGAGUCGGACCUGUUAGCCUAUGGGUGCCUUUAGGUUGGUUGGAGAUACACACUCCAUGAUAAUGUGUUAAAUCUCAUGCUAAGUCCUAUUCCCUAUCUCAACAUUUUAUAUAUCUGUAUAUAUGCAUGUAUGUGAACAUAUACAUUGAGUAUGGACUUGAUUUUUAAAUGACAUUACUUUAUCCCUAUCCCGAGUUACAUGCUAGCGAUCACCUCGCUAACCAUCCUAGGACUCUACAUUGUUUUAUAAUGUAGGGUCCGAGGAUACCAGUUUUGCCCAUGUGCAACGUUAGGUGACUGGGUUAGUCAGUUGGUUCGCGGUGAAUUGGUGAACUUACAUCCUCUGAAAAACUUAGCCAUUCCAUCGAUUUAUUUCCAUAUUAUAGAAUUAAAGAUUUAACAUUAACAUUAUCAAUGUAAUUGUCACUAUCAUGGUCGGGGGAAUGUCUCGAUCUAGUUUGAUAUUCGGAUUGUUUUAGAGGCUUUUGUGAAAACCUAUGGAAUGGGAUAUUUGUUUGGAAUCUUAGAAUCUUUGUCUUGGUGUAUUUAUCCUUUAUAUAUUUGUUUGGAUUGCUUUCACUAUUAUACUGUAUUGUGUUCAGAUUGGCUAGGCUCAGUGGGUGGCUUUUUGUCCUCGGUGGACUUGAGAUACCCGUCACGACUAGGCCCUGAUUUGGGUCGUGACAGUAAGGGUUGUUAAAACUCAAAUGAUUUUUCAUAGAGUUCAAAUGCUUUACAGACAUCACAAAUUAUUUUUAAUUGCCUUGAUAGAUCCUUUCGAAGACAUAAGGAAAAUUCAAGAUACAAAAGAAGGUUGGGGAUGCAGUAUGUGAAUUAUAAUCAAAAUGGUCAGAUAUAGUUUUUUGUGCAAGAGCAUAUUCAAGUGGGAGUGAUUAUCGAUUUUGAGCAACAACUUUCAUUACACCUCACAGUGGAAUAUGAUAAGUAGACGAUGACUACAGUGGUGUAUGCCAAAUAUUAUACUUUAGAGAGUUUAGUCUGUGCGAUGAUUUGUAUGCCAUUGGGUACAAUCUUUCCUUUCCUUGGUUGUAGGGGCAGAGUUGAAUGUCAUUUUAUAUGAUGAAGAAAAAUUGGUGGGCUACCUGUAUAUCCUUACUCAUUUGAGGACUUCAGCUUCUGUAUAAAUUAUUGUGAGUUAUUUGAGAUUAGCGUCACCGGGAACCCUUUUACCUGGUUGAAUGGUAGAGCUGAUGAAGAAUAUAUUUUCAAAACGCUAGACAGAAUCAUGAAUUAGGCAGUAUAGGACAUAUUUGGGAAUAUAAAAUGUAAUAUUUGACUAUAACUGAGUCUGAUCAUGCCCCUUUAAUGCUCAAGGAAAAAUCCAGUAAUUCUCAAAACCUCUUAGGUUUUUAAAGUUCUGAAUAGAAAAAGAUGAUUUUAAAACGUGGUUAGGCAUAUUCGGAGGGCAGAUAAAUAUGGGGAUUGCUUCAAAAGAUUGAAAUACAAGCAGAAGAGAGCUAAAUAUGCACUGUCUAAGUGGAGUAGAGACAUGUUUGGGGAUCUAUUUAAACAACUAAGCAUCAGGGAAGAGAUUGUGAAGUUAAAGGAGGGCCUAUUUGAUGAACAACCAAAUACAACGAAUAUGGCUAUUUUAUAACAUAUACAAGUUGAACUAAAGUAGUAUCUCCACUGCAAGGAGGAAUUUUUCAUACAAAUGACUAGUAUCCAGUGGUUCACUAAAAGGGGAUAAAAAUAUAAAUUUUUUCCAUUGUCUGGUGAAAGAAGAAGAAAGAAAUUACAAUUGAAGAGAAGUUUAAAGCAUGAUGGUACUUGGGCUGAAGGAGAUGAGCAGAUUGCAAAUGAAGCAAUGAACUUUUUCCAAAACCGAUUCUCAGGAGAGCUCUUUACUGACGAAUAUUGUUAUAACAUAUCCCAUCAUUAAUUAUCAAAAAAGAUAAUAUUAUGCUCAUGUAACGCCCCAAAAAUGGGUCCCGAGCUCAAGACUACGAGUAGCCUUAAGCUAGCCUUGUUUGCUUUCUACUAAGUUUGAAUCUCAUAAUAAGGUAAUAUAGAUAUCAAAAUCAUACUAAAAGCGGAAAUUAUCUGAAUGUAAUAUCCGAAAAUAAUGUCUGGAACCUUAAUACUGAAUAAUCUGAAUUAAAACUAGCAGUCUGACAAUCCUCUACUACUCCUAAAUAGAGAGCCACUGGGAUACACCCCCAGUUGACUCGAACUGUCUAAAAAGAAUACUGAAUCAUCUAAGCUGAAAAUCUGAAUAACUAAGUCCCUGAACUAUGAUGACUCACCAACUGUCGGGCUGUAGAUGGAGAUGCUCGAAAUUACUCAUGUUGUUGGAACUGAGCACCUGCACCUACAUUAUGAGAUAAUGUAACACAUAGACGUAUAUGUGGAUCAGUACUUUUAGGAUGUACUGAGUAUAUGACUGCAAGCAUAAUUGAUAAUGCCUAGUGGUAAAAAAAUGACACCUUAGUUUAAUGGAUGGGAAUGUGUAAAUGAUUUUAAUUGAGCUUAAUGGGGUUGUGUAGCUCACGCUGAAGGUCUAAGUCUCAGGGAAGACGAAUACCGAAAAUUACAUUUACUGACGUGGGGGUCUUUAUGGUCGUGUGCAUAGUUCACACUUGAUAUGUUUAUAUCUUAGAUUGGUAUGGGGUCAUGGAUUCCCUGACCUUCUUUGGAUUUCCUGGUUCUUGCGGCUACACGCAUUAGUGCCCUUCCGAUGGGAGGAGCCGGACCUGUUAUCCUGUGGGUGUCUUUAGUUUGGUUGGAGAUACACACUCCACGAUAAUGUGUUAAAUCUCAUGCUAAGCCCUAUUCCCUAUCCCAACAUUUUAUAUAUCUGUAUAUAUGCAUGUAUGUGAACAUGUACAUUGAGUAUGGACUUGAUUUUUAAAUAACAUUACUUUAUUCCUAUCCCGAGUUACAUGCUAGAGAUCUCCUCGCUAACCAUCCUAAGAUGCUAUAUUGUUUUAUAAUGUAUGGUCC